AAAAACCGAGCCAGGAUCAAUUUGAUAUGCGCAUGGUAAAUUUGUGUUUUUUAGACACAUAUCAUUUUUACCAUCAAAUAAUGUCAAAUUGAUACCAAAAAAUGUCAAAUUGUCGAUUUCUCUCUUUUCGGAAAUUUCUUGACAUCGAAAAAGAGAGGAUGUAGCAAUAUGGCGACAUCAAUCACGAUGCGUUUUAGUGGAUUUUUUGCCACUUGAAUUUUAUUUUGAUGCAGGUCGGACGUGCAUGGUCAGUGUAGUGUUUCUCCAAGUUGAAAAAAACAGAAAAAAUGACGGAGUCUGAAAAGGAAGGACUAUUAAGUUUCUUGACUGAUCAGGACCUACCAAUGUCCUGUUACGACUGUCUUAUUG
Non-coding RNA from Drosophila suzukii, 369 nucleotides. NCBI's taxonomy places the organism in Eukaryota, Metazoa, Arthropoda, Insecta, Diptera, Drosophilidae. The record is from RefSeq and is a predicted model, not a curated record.